Molecule: ribosomal RNA, 301 nt
Filed under: uncultured bacterium
Lineage: Bacteria
Description: partial 16S ribosomal RNA
Rfam family: Bacterial small subunit ribosomal RNA
Source: RNAcentral
CAGCCGCCACGGUAAUACGGAGGGUGCAAGCGUUAAUCGGAAUUACUGGGCGUAAAGCGCACGCAGGCGGUCUGACAAGUCAGAUGUGAAAUCCCCGGGCUUAACCUGGGAACUGCAUUUGAAACUGUCAGGCUGGAGUCUUGUAGAGGGGGGUGGAAUUCCAGGUGUAGCGGUGAAAUGCGUAGAGAUCUGGAGGAAUACCGGUGGCAAAGGCGGCCCCCUGGACAAAGACUGACGCUCAGGUGCGAAAGCGUGGGGAGCAAACAGGAUUAGAUACCCCUGUAGUCCCUGUCUCUUAUAC